Long non-coding RNA from Anolis carolinensis (green anole), 1889 nucleotides. RefSeq lists it as uncharacterized. Lineage: Eukaryota; Metazoa; Chordata; Lepidosauria; Squamata; Anolidae. The transcript is spliced from 9 exons. The record is from RefSeq and is a predicted model, not a curated record.
UUUUUUUUAAGGGCGGGCUAUCGAAGCGAGUCCCUAUUGGGUGCGGGUAUUUUUUUUCCCCGGCAUGCAUUGCGGCAGCUGAGUAUUUAACCCCUUGGAAGGGAAGCGCUUGUCCUUUUCCCUCAGAGCGGAUUUUUGAUCUCUGGGUUCUACAUCUUGUGAUUUGUUUCUAAAGGAGGUGAAACCCUAAACAUCAUCUUACCAAUGGAUGCCUCUCUGAUCAAGAACGGUUGGCGUGCCUCCUGCCUUGGCACGGUAUACAUUCACAAACAAAGAUCCAUUUUAUUGAAGACUAACUAAGGGACCUAGCAUUGCUUCUUGCGUUAGAAGAACUUGGCAUCCAAUAGGAUGGUGAGCUUGGACUUGGAGCAUGAUCCUACAUGAUAAGAGCUAACUGGUGUCAGUCUUGAAGCUACGCAGAUGAGAAAGUACAUUUCAGUUCAAAGCAGAGUACCCCACUGUGUGUCCAGUCAAUCCAUGCAUUUGUUGCUGCACUAAAAUAAUAUGGCUUCAAUAUCUUUAGCAGAUGUAUGCGGUCACUGAAGAUGGUUGUGGGAAGAAUUAAUGAGAGAAGAGGUUGUACUCAUGGAAGCUAAACCCAAGUUGCCGACAUUAGGCUUGCAAUGUCCUGUUUGGGAUUUCUUCAAGGAUUUUCAUAUUUAAAAAAAAUUUUGAGCUUAAUAUGGUUUUUAGUUUUCAAGAUGCAAAUCUAAUAAACUUUAAAAAAAACAUUUGGCAAUAUGGGAAUAGACUAAUUGCGUAACUUGGUGAGGUAUGAUUUUGAACAUUUAAACUUAGUAUUAUUAGGAAAAAGGUGGGAGAAAAAUUAUAAAUUGUAACCGCUGGAAAAUUUAUUCCUCCAUUUAGUAUAGGCAAAGAUUAGCUAGGAACACACUACAUGUUGAUGUCUAGCUGCUGAAAUGGUGAUUGUUAUGAGUUUUCUGUGCUGUCUGGCCAUGUUUUCCUGAAUUUUCUCCUGACAUUUCACCCACAUCUAUAGCAGACAUCAGAUGUUUGGUUCCUCUGGUUUAUCCCUGAUUGUCCCUAUACUAUCCACGAAUCCUACUCAAGCUUCCUUCCGCAUAUACAGUAUCUAUGCCCAGGUUUUACAGUAAUUGUAGUUGACAUUAUAAUUCUAUCCUGAAUUUUAUUAGGUCCCUUUUAUUUGAGUAUUUUAAUCUGAUGCUAUUUUUAUAUUGCUGCUGCAGUUCCCCCAUCUGUGAAGUUGACUGAAUUGUACUUGGUGGUUGAUCGAUAUUACUACUUUUGUAUUGCCUUAUUGUGUUUUAUCUUUUGUAUAUUGUGUAAUGUAUUUAUGCUGUUGUUUUUGUAAACUAUGCUUUGCCCCAAGUCCCCGUGGGGAGAUGGUGGUGGGGUAUAACGUUUUUAUUUUGUUUUAUAUUUAUAUUGUCUAUAUUUAAUUCAUGGAUUGUUUUUUAAACCAAUGUUAUUGCUGGGCUUGUCCCCAUGUGAGCCGCCCCGUGUCCCUUCGGGGAAAUGGUGGCGGGCUAUAAGAAUAAAGUUAUUAUUGACACAAAGACUCUGCAAAUGAGCUAUAUAUGCUGGUGGUGGUUGUUAUUAUUGUGAGGUCUGUUGGAAACUAGGCAAGUGGGGUUUAUAUACCUGUGGAAUAAUGUCCAAGGUGGGACAGAGAAAGAACUUGUCUGUUUGAGGCAAAUGUGAAUGUUGCAAUUGGUCACCUUUCUUAGCAUUGAAUGGCUUUUCAGUUUCAAUGUAGACCAUGUUUGUAAAGGUUGAACUUCCCUUUUCUUGUCACAUCUUCCUCUUAAGCCUUGUGGCAAAGUCCACAAUGGAUACUUCUUGGAAACACCACACUUGCGGAAUUCAGUCCUGUUGUUGAAAUAAACUGCAAAUGUGAAAUGGUGAAA